UACGUAGGUGGCAAGCGUUGUCCGGAUUUACUGGGCGUAAAGAGCGCGCAGGCGGUCGUUCAAGUCGCGUGUGAAAGCCCCCGGCUCAACUGGGGAGGGUCACGCGAUACUGAUCGACUGGAAGGCAGGAGAGGGUAGUGGAAUUCCCGGUGUAGCGGUGAAGUGCGUAGAUAUCGGGAGGAACACCAGUGGCGAAGGCGGCUGCCUGGGCCAGUUCUGACGCUGAGGCGCGAAAGCGUGGGGAGCAAACAGG
This 253-nucleotide ribosomal RNA is filed under the name uncultured bacterium. RNAcentral describes it as "partial 16S ribosomal RNA". It matches the Rfam family "Bacterial small subunit ribosomal RNA", at positions 524 to 776 of the family's 1533-position model. The record is from RNAcentral.